UAUAAUCAGUAUCAUGGCCUUUGUAUACAACAAAAUUGAUUGGAACUCCUAGACUAGAAAUAUAAUUCAAGAUUUAAAUAAGGCACUGUUCAUAGUUUUAGAAAGUGUGGCUAGCAUUCUGAAGGAAGACAGAGACAUGGAAAGUCAUCAAAGAAUGGGCAGGUCUGCCAAGAAAUGGUUUAUCCAGGGCUAAGUACAGAGAGGAAUAUAGAAGGGCUGUUGACAGAUCUUGUGUGGUGCCCCCAUGGUUCAACAGACUAAUUGAUUGAAAAUAAUACCAGGGUUAUGCUCCUUUGACCAUUGAGUUCCAGGAUGAAGAAUGAAAGACAAAGAGCAAUGUAAAGACAUGAAAGAAUAGGCAGGUCUGCCAUGAAAUGGUUUAUCCAGGGCUAAGUACAGAGAGGAAUAUAGAAGGGCUGUUGACAGAUCUUGUGUGGGGCCCCCAUGGUUCAACAGACUGAUUGAUAGGUAAUGGUAAGAAUUUAAUGUAUUUUGUAAAAAAAAUGGUGUUAAUUACAUUAAGGGACUUAAUCACUCUUUUUUUAAUUUUUACAUU
Biomphalaria glabrata is the source of this 556-nucleotide long non-coding RNA. RefSeq lists it as uncharacterized. The record is from RefSeq and is a predicted model, not a curated record. NCBI's taxonomy places the organism in Eukaryota, Metazoa, Mollusca, Gastropoda, Planorbidae. The transcript has 3 exons.